This 1502-nucleotide unclassified non-coding RNA is filed under the name uncultured fungus. Its description in RNAcentral is "sequence contains 18S rRNA gene, ITS1, 5.8S rRNA gene, ITS2, 28S rRNA gene". The stretch from base 555 to 1502 matches the Rfam family "Eukaryotic large subunit ribosomal RNA", at positions 1 to 961 of the family's 3401-position model. The record is from RNAcentral. Lineage: Eukaryota; Fungi.
GGAAGGAUCAUUAUUGAUUUUUAAAGAUGUGCUGGCCUUUACGGGUAUGUGCACUCUUAAAAAACCCAAUAUCCACCUGUGCACUUUCUGUAGGCAUGUUUGCCUAUGCAUUUUUAUACACACACCAUGUUAUAUUUUGAAUGCCUUUGAUUAACCAAUCGUAAAACAACUUUCAACAAUGGAUCUCUUGGUUCUCGCAUCGAUGAAGAACGCAGCGAAUUGCGAUAUGUAAUGUGAAUUGCAGAAUUCAGUGAAUCAUCGAAUCUUUGAACGCACAUUGCACCCUCUGGUAUUCCGGAGGGUAUGCCUGUUUGAGUGUCAUUAAUAUCUCAACACAGACAAGUUUUAUGACUUGCACUGAUGCUUGGAUGCUGAAGGUUGCUGGCAAUAUUUGUCAGCUCCUUUUAAAUGUAUUAGCAGAAACCUAUGCAAAAAGCUGGCUUCAGUUUGAUAAGCACUUAUCUGUAUUGCUGUUGCUAGUGAAAUGCUCUUGUUUCAGCUUCCAAUUGUCCAAUUCUUUGGACUGCCUCACGAGGUAAUUUAAUCUUGACACUUGACCUCAAAUCAGGUAGGACUACCGCUGAACUUAAGCAUAUCAAUAAGCGGAGGAAAAGAAACUAACAAGGAUUCCCCCAGUAACUGCGAGUGAAGAGGGAAGAGCUCAAAUUUAAAAUCUGGCAGUCUCUGGCUGUCCGAGUUGUAAAUUAGAGAAGUGUUAUCCGCGCUGGACUGUGCAUAAGUUCCUUGGAAAAGGGCAUCAUAGAGGGUGACAAUCCCGUCUUUGGCACAGACUACCAGGGCUUUUGUGAUGCGCUCUCGAUGAGUCGAGUUGUUUGGGAAUGCAGCUCUAAAUGGGUGGUAAAUUCCAUCUAAAGCUAAAUAUUGGCGAGAAACCGAUAGCGCACAAGUACCGUGAGGGAAAGAUGAAAAGAACUUUGAAAAGAGAGUUAAACAGUACGUGAAAUUGUUGAAAGGGAAACGCUUGAAGUCAGUCACAUCCUUCAGAAAUCAACCUGAUCAUUGGUCUGGUGUACUUUCUGUUUGGAUGGGUCAGCAUCAAUUUUGAUCAUUGGAUAAAGGAUUAGGGAAUGUGGCAUCCUCGGAUGUGUUAUAACCCUUGUUCAUAUACAGUGGUUGGGAUUGAGGAACUCAGUGCUUGCACUCAGGAUGCUGACAUAAUGGCUUUAAUCGACCCGUCUUGAAACACGGACCAAGGAGUCUAACAUACAUGCGAGUGUUUGAGUGAAAAACUCGAGCGCAUAAUGAAAGUGAAAGUUGAGAACCCUGUCAGGGGUGCAUCGACGCCCGGACCUGACCUUUUGUGAUGGACCUGCGGUAGAGCAUGCAUGUUGGGACCCGAAAGAUGGUGAACUAUGCCUGAAUAGGGUGAAGCCAGAGGAAACUCUGGUGGAAGCUCGUAGCGAUUCUGACGUGCAAAUCGAUCGUCGAAUUUGGGUAUAGGGGCGAAAGACUAAUCGAACCAUCUAGUAGCUGGUUCCUGC